RNAcentral lists this ribosomal RNA (449 nucleotides) under uncultured bacterium. RNAcentral describes it as "partial 16S ribosomal RNA". It matches the Rfam family "Bacterial small subunit ribosomal RNA", at positions 29 to 523 of the family's 1533-position model. The record is from RNAcentral.
AACGAACGCUGGCGGCAUGCCUAACACAUGCAAGUCGAACGAGAUCUUCGGGUCUAGUGGCGCACGGGUGCGUAACGCGUGGGAAUCUGCCCUUUGGUUCGGAAUAACAGUUGGAAACGACUGCUAAUACCGGAUGAUGACGAAAGUCCAAAGAUUUAUCGCCAGAGGAUGAGCCCGCGUAGGAUUAGCUAGUUGGAGUGGUAAAGGCGCACCAAGGCGACGAUCCUUAGCUGGUCUGAGAGGAUGAUCAGCCACACUGGGACUGAGACACGGCCCAGACUCCUACGGGAGGCAGCAGUGGGAAAUAUUGGACAAUGGGCGAAAGCCUGAUCCAGCAAUGCCGCGUGAGUGAUGAAGGCCUUAGAGUUGUAAAGCUCUUUUACCCGGGAUGAUAAUGACAGUACCGGGAGAAUAAGCUCCGGCUAACUCCGUGCCAGCCGCCGCCGUAA